Molecule: long non-coding RNA, 2073 nt
Organism: Bos taurus (domestic cattle)
Lineage: Eukaryota; Metazoa; Chordata; Mammalia; Artiodactyla; Bovidae
Source: Ensembl
UGUGCCCUGUAGCAUCUUUAGCAGUGGUGGUCCAGUUCUCCUAGUAACAUUGUUAAUGUGCUGUGAACGAUUGAAAUUUUGAGUAUGUAGUAUGACAUUAAAUUGUGACUGGUGGAACUUCCUAUAUUGUACUGGAUAUCCUGUUAAGGAAAAUUUGCCUCCAAAUGUAAGCUGAAAAGUUCUAGGAAAACUGUUCAGAAAAGAAUCAAAACUACAUUAUUUUUUUAGAUUUUUGGUACAAAUGUUAAGAAUUAUAUACAAAUUGAAAUUUCUGUGUACUGAUACUCAAAACAACCAAUAAAAUCUCAGUUAUAAAAAAAGAAAACGUUGGAAAGUACAAAUUCCCUGACCUAAUGAACCCACUUCUAAUUAUGCCAAAGAAAUAAAAAAAAAAAUAGAACAAGUGUUCAGACAUAGUUGUACAAGGAUGUUGGAAGAGUCAGGAUCUGAUAGAGAAUGAGUUCAAAUUCUGUUUACCCAUUGUCUCAGUCCUUGAGUUGUUUACUUAACCUCUCCCAACCUCUAUUUCGUCUUUCGUAAAAUGAGAAUGUCAAGAAUAGAAAGAGCCUGAAGUGUAACUUAUUGCAAUAUUAUGUUUGUCUCAGUUAAUCUCAGAUUGAAAAACAGCCUGAAAAAUCCACACAACUGUUGGUGGGGUGGAAGUGGGGGUGGUAAAUGGUAGAAAGGAUGAAUCUCUCCACUACUGCCCCUCUUUUUCCCAUUUCAUCGGCUAAGUAUUUCUGGAGAGGACUCUUGAGAGUCUCUUGGACAGUAUGGAGAUCAAACCAGUCAAUUCAAAAGAAAAUCAACCCUGAAUAUUCAUUGGAAGGACUGAUGCUAAAGCUGAAGCUCCAAUACUUUGGCCACCUGAUUCGAAGAGCUGAGUCAUUGGAAAAGUCCCUGAUGCUGGAAAAGAUUGAAGGCAGGAGGAGAAGGGGGUGGUAGAGGAUGAGAUGGUUGGAUGGCAUCAUCAACUCAGUGGACAUGAGUUUCAGCAAACUCCAGGAGAUGGUGAAGGACAGGAAGCCUGGUGUGCUGCUGUCCAUGGAGUCACAAGGAGUCAGACACGAAUGAGCAGUGCCAACCUGAGGCCUUGUCUGGUAGGGACCGUGAACAAGACUCCAAAGACCCUAAAACUCCAAUUUGUAUGACUAGAGCCCAUCCUUCCAAUCCCUGAUACUGAACAGAGAAGAACAUCUGCGUUCAUUUGGGUAGACUUCUAGGCACUUCAGAAAAUGGGGAGGAACCAAGAGGGAAAAAAACUCCCCUUGAAAAAAGUUCAAAGGACUCAUUUGAAAAGACCUGACACUGGGAAAGAUUGAAGGCAGGAGGAGAAGGGGACGACAGAGGAUCAGAUGGUUGGAUGGCAUCACCAACUCAAUGGACAUGAGUUUGAGUAAACUCUGGAAGUUGGUGCUGGACAGGGAGGCCUGGCGUGCUGUGGUCCAUGGGGUCGCAAAGAGUCGGAUAUGACUGAGCGACUGAACUGAACUAAAAAAAGGAAUGCUGUUUCCAGGAGGGAGGAAGUGGUUUUUCAGGCUGAGACAUGGAGAAGGGAUUAGAUAAAGGCAGAGAGCAAAUCAAAGGUGGCAAAGUCAGGUAUGGCGGAGGACACAUGCAGAGAAGAGAAGCAUCUACAUUAGUUAUACUGCGGCUGCUGCUGCUAAGUCGUGUCAGUUGUGUCCAACUCUGUGUGACCCCACCAGGCUCCGCCGUCCCUGGGAUUCUCCAGGCAAGAACACUGGAGUGGGUUGCCAUGUCCUUCUCCAAUGCAUGAACAUGAAAAGUGAAAGUGAAGUCGCUCAGUUGUGUCCGACUCUUUGCGACCCCAUGGACUGCAGCCCACCAGGCUCCUCCGUCCAUGGGAUUUUCCAGGCAAGAGUACUGGAGUGGUGGAGCUGUCCAAAAGAAAUAAAAUGUAAAUUUUAAAAUUGUCUUUAAUUGAUAAAUAUUCUAAUAACUUUUAAAAUUUUCUGGCCGCUCUGGGUCUCCGUUGCUGUGCAUGUGGGCUUUUUCUCUAGUUGCAGUGAGUGGGAGCUACUCUCUAGUUGCAACGAGCAGUCUUCUCAUUGU